CCUGCCCGCGCAUGUCGGCCGCGCUGUGGUCCCCUGGCACCCCGCGCCGAGGCUCUUAGUUAGACCAGGUGGGGUUUGCGCAUGCCCCUCCCGGAGCGCCCCAGCUGUCCUGUACGCGCGCCUCGGGCAGCGGCGGCUUCGGGACCUGAUGGAAGUGUUUCAUUAGGCGGCAGGGCCUGUCAGGUCUUUUGGCUCUGUUGGCAGAAAACACUUUGCGGGCUGUGAGCGAACUUUGUGCCACUCCGAGACAGCUCGAGUGAGACCGUGCAAAGCUUCGUCCCUGGCUGCGAGCGGCAGCGCGCCUUUCCCCGGCGUCACCGCUUUAUAGAUAACCCUUUCUGUGAACUGGCGGGCCACGAGCUGUCUCUCUUCAGUCUGUCCUCGACACGACCAGCACGCAUCCAAUUAACAGCGCCUCACGAAAAGCAAAAAGUAAAUAACUGCUCCCAGUGCAACGCGCAAAGUGCCCACGAUGUGCUAAACAAGGAAACAAACACACAAAGCCUCCGCAGAAACCAAAACUGAAGCCAAGAAAAAUCAGAGAGACGCCGCCUGCAGCCAAGACGUGCUGGAAACUGCGGGCGAAGCGUUCGCGCCUCACCCAGUGCAACUGAAGUUAACGACAUUGCCCCCCGCUCUUAACUGCGCCACCGCGCAGCUGCCCGUAUGGCAGGGCCAUCUAUCCUGCGCGGCAACCGUGGCAACGCGUCCCCCGCGCCGGCACCUCCCUCUCUCAGCUGCCUCCCGGGACCCCCGCCGGACCCGCCUGCGUGUGUAAACUCGCCCAGGGGGAGGGCUGUGCCGCAGGGAAGACUGCUCAGGCACCCGCGAAGCCUGGCUUGGCCAUGCGGCGCGUCCUGCGCUGCGACACAGCGGCAGGGCAUAGCCGGGAGCUAGGUGGGUUUCAGUCGGAACCCGGCACUUUUCACUCCCCAAAAUGGCAAAGUUCACGCCGGUUAUUUUCUUCCCCUUCAAGUCGAGGACCCUGCCGAGAUUACCAGCACUUCGUGCUGCUACUUGAGCCGCAAAGACCGAGCUCUGACACACGCAGGAGUGGGUCACGUAUGCCACGUCUGUUCUUGAAGCCAGCAGUAUGUACCCCAGAGAGCACAGCACUAAGUACAAUGAAUUCCCUGACACUUCCUCAACGGUUAUUCCCUGACAGUGCUGUCAAGCACCAAGCCAUACAUCUGCACCAGAUAAAUUCAUCCACAGUGAGAUACGAAUUGUCAAAGGACUUCAUUUGAUUUAGGUACACACUUCACAUUAAAGUGUAGCUAUAAUCAAUAAGAUACACUCCUGAAUCUUAUUAAUCCUUUAAUGUUUAUCUAAAAAACCAGUCAGGCAUGGUAAGCCAAGAGCAGCUAUGAUAAUCAGCAAGGGAUGCAAGAUUAAUUCAACUGCAAAAUGUCAGUUGUGAAA
Long non-coding RNA from Pogoniulus pusillus (Red-fronted tinkerbird), 1422 nucleotides. RefSeq lists it as uncharacterized. The record is from RefSeq and is a predicted model, not a curated record. The transcript is spliced from 2 exons. NCBI's taxonomy places the organism in Eukaryota, Metazoa, Chordata, Aves, Piciformes, Lybiidae.